This 301-nucleotide ribosomal RNA is filed under the name uncultured bacterium. Its description in RNAcentral is "partial 16S ribosomal RNA". It matches the Rfam family "Bacterial small subunit ribosomal RNA", at positions 509 to 807 of the family's 1533-position model. The record is from RNAcentral.
CAGCAGCCGCGGUAAUACGUAGGUGGCAAGCGUUGUCCGGAAUUAUUGGGCGUAAAGGGCUCGCAGGCGGUUUCUUAAGUCUGAUGUGAAAGCCCCCGGCUCAACCGGGGAGGGUCAUUGGAAACUGGGAAACUUGAGUGCUGAAGAGGAGAGUGGAAUUCCACGCGUAGCGGUGAAAUGCGUAGAGAUGCGGAGGAACACCAGUGGCGAAGGCGACUCUCUGGUCUGUAACUGACGCUGAGGAGCGAGAGCGUGGGGAGCGAACAGGAUUAGAUACCCCAGUAGUCCCUGUCUCUUAUAC